AUAUGGAUUGCCAUUCAGAACCUGCGACCCAUGAAUAUCAUAAGGCACUGAUCAUUUACUCUAUUCAAGCAUGGUUUGCCAAAUACUUGUCUCAGUACCACUAAGAGGAAGAGAUUUUCAGGUAAAGUUAGUAAACACAAGUUCAAAGUCACUCCAACCCCUUCCUGUCCCACCCUGCCCCAGCAACACCCCAGUAAAGAAAGGAGAAAAAAAGAAGACAAAAAUGCAAGAUAAAGUAAUCAUCAUUCCAGAAAAGCCAAAUCCAUCCAUCUUUAUUAUUGAACAACACAGAAGGAAAAAUGCAGCAGCAGAAAAGCAGAGUUUUUCCAAUUGCAACAGUGUCUUUGCACCAUGAUAGGCAUUGCAAUCAGAAUACACAUCCUUCGAUGCAUAAAAAACACUAACAUUGAUUUUGAUUUAAAUGAAAGAUGACAAAAAAAAAAAGAGCGG
Molecule: unclassified non-coding RNA, 450 nt
Filed under: Hevea brasiliensis (rubber tree)
Lineage: Eukaryota; Viridiplantae; Streptophyta; Magnoliopsida; Malpighiales; Euphorbiaceae
Source: RNAcentral